AAUCCAUAGGUUAAUGAGGCGAACCGGGGGAACUGAAACAUCUAAGUACCCCGAGGAAAAGAAAUCAACCGAGAUUCCCCCAGUAGCGGCGAGCGAACGGGGAGGAGCCCAGAGCCUGAAUCAGCAUGUGUGUUAGUGGAAGCGUCUGGAAAGGCGCGCGAUACAGGGUGACAGCCCCGUACACAAAAGCGCAUGUGCUGUGAGCUCGAUGAGUAGGGCGGGACACGUGGUAUCCUGUCUGAAUAUGGGGGGACCAUCCUCCAAGGCUAAAUACUCCUGACUGACCGAUAGUGAACCAGUACCGUGAGGGAAAGGCGAAAAGAACCCCGGCGAGGGGAGUGAAAAAGAACCUGAAACCGUGUACGUACAAGCAGUGGGAGCACCCUUUUGGGUGUGACUGCGUACCUUUUGUAUAAUGGGUCAGCGACUUAUAUUCUGUAGCAAGGUUAACCGAAUAGGGGAGCCGUAGGGAAACCGAGUCUUAACCGGGCGUUAAGUUGCAGGGUAUAGACCCGAAACCCGGUGAUCUAGCCAUGGGCAGGUUGAAGGUUGGGUAACACUAACUGGAGGACCGAACCGACUAAUGUUGAAAAAUUAGCGGAUGACCUGUGGCUGGGGGUGAAAGGCCAAUCAAACCGGGAGAUAGCUGGUUCUCCCCGAAAGCUAUUUAGGUAGCGCCUCGUGAACUCAU
RNAcentral lists this ribosomal RNA (691 nucleotides) under Salmonella enterica. Its description in RNAcentral is "partial 23S ribosomal RNA". It matches the Rfam family "Bacterial large subunit ribosomal RNA", at positions 161 to 893 of the family's 2925-position model. Lineage: Bacteria; Pseudomonadati; Pseudomonadota; Gammaproteobacteria; Enterobacterales; Enterobacteriaceae. The record is from RNAcentral.